AUGAACGCUAGCGACAGGCUUAACACAUGCAAGUCGAGGGGUAACAGGGUAGCAAUACCGCUGACGACCGGCGCACGGGUGAGUAACGCGUAUGCAACCUGCCUAUAACUGGGGAAUAGCUCCCUGAAAGGGGAAUUAACACCGCAUAACACUAUUGAUUCGCAUGGAUUGGUAGUUAAAUGUAGCGAUACAGGUUAUAGAUGGGCAUGCGUGACAUUAGCUAGUUGGUGAGGUAACGGCUCACCAAGGCUACGAUGUCUAGGGGUUCUGAGAGGAAGGUCCCCCCACACUGGUACUGAGACACGGACCAGACUCCUACGGGAGGCAGCAGUGAGGAAUAUUGGUCAAUGGGCGCAAGCCUGAACCAGCCAUGUCGCGUGCAGGAAGAACCUGCCCUAUGGGUUGUAAACUGCUUUUAUAGUAGAAGAAACACAUCUACGUGUAGAUGUCUGCCAGUAUACUAUGAAUAAGCAUCGGCUAACUCCGUGCCAGCCGCGGC
RNAcentral lists this ribosomal RNA (499 nucleotides) under uncultured bacterium. Its description in RNAcentral is "bacterial SSU rRNA". It matches the Rfam family "Bacterial small subunit ribosomal RNA", at positions 29 to 518 of the family's 1533-position model. The record is from RNAcentral.